RNAcentral lists this ribosomal RNA (1386 nucleotides) under Lactiplantibacillus plantarum. RNAcentral describes it as "bacterial SSU rRNA". It matches the Rfam family "Bacterial small subunit ribosomal RNA", at positions 59 to 1411 of the family's 1533-position model. Lineage: Bacteria; Bacillati; Bacillota; Bacilli; Lactobacillales; Lactobacillaceae. The record is from RNAcentral.
CAGUCGAACGAACUCUGGUAUUGAUUGGUGCUUGCAUCAUGAUUUACAUUUGAGUGAGUGGCGAACUGGUGAGUAACACGUGGGAAACCUGCCCAGAAGCGGGGGAUAACACCUGGAAACAGAUGCUAAUACCGCAUAACAACUUGGACCGCAUGGUCCGAGUUUGAAAGAUGGCUUCGGCUAUCACUUUUGGAUGGUCCCGCGGCGUAUUAGCUAGAUGGUGGGGUAACGGCUCACCAUGGCAAUGAUACGUAGCCGACCUGAGAGGGUAAUCGGCCACAUUGGGACUGAGACACGGCCCAAACUCCUACGGGAGGCAGCAGUAGGGAAUCUUCCACAAUGGACGAAAGUCUGAUGGAGCAACGCCGCGUGAGUGAAGAAGGGUUUCGGCUCGUAAAACUCUGUUGUUAAAGAAGAACAUAUCUGAGAGUAACUGUUCAGGUAUUGACGGUAUUUAACCAGAAAGCCACGGCUAACUACGUGCCAGCAGCCGCGGUAAUACGUAGGUGGCAAGCGUUGUCCGGAUUUAUUGGGCGUAAAGCGAGCGCAGGCGGUUUUUUAAGUCUGAUGUGAAAGCCUUCGGCUCAACCGAAGAAGUGCAUCGGAAACUGGGAAACUUGAGUGCAGAAGAGGACAGUGGAACUCCAUGUGUAGCGGUGAAAUGCGUAGAUAUAUGGAAGAACACCAGUGGCGAAGGCGGCUGUCUGGUCUGUAACUGACGCUGAGGCUCGAAAGUAUGGGUAGCAAACAGGAUUAGAUACCCUGGUAGUCCAUACCGUAAACGAUGAAUGCUAAGUGUUGGAGGGUUUCCGCCCUUCAGUGCUGCAGCUAACGCAUUAAGCAUUCCGCCUGGGGAGUACGGCCGCAAGGCUGAAACUCAAAGGAAUUGACGGGGGCCCGCACAAGCGGUGGAGCAUGUGGUUUAAUUCGAAGCUACGCGAAGAACCUUACCAGGUCUUGACAUACUAUGCAAAUCUAAGAGAUUAGACGUUCCCUUCGGGGACAUGGAUACAGGUGGUGCAUGGUUGUCGUCAGCUCGUGUCGUGAGAUGUUGGGUUAAGUCCCGCAACGAGCGCAACCCUUAUUAUCAGUUGCCAGCAUUAAGUUGGGCACUCUGGUGAGACUGCCGGUGACAAACCGGAGGAAGGUGGGGAUGACGUCAAAUCAUCAUGCCCCUUAUGACCUGGGCUACACACGUGCUACAAUGGAUGGUACAACGAGUUGCGAACUCGCGAGAGUAAGCUAAUCUCUUAAAGCCAUUCUCAGUUCGGAUUGUAGGCUGCAACUCGCCUACAUGAAGUCGGAAUCGCUAGUAAUCGCGGAUCAGCAUGCCGCGGUGAAUACGUUCCCGGGCCUUGUACACACCGCCCGUCACACCAUGAGAGU